Molecule: long non-coding RNA, 366 nt
Organism: Daphnia magna
Lineage: Eukaryota; Metazoa; Arthropoda; Branchiopoda; Diplostraca; Daphniidae
Exons: 3
Source: RefSeq, a predicted model, not a curated record
ACAGUCCCCAGUCCGCGUAUUAUAGGGGAUACAGCAUAGGGCAUACUAUACAGGAUACAGACAUUUCGACGGAUGAAAUGAUAAAUGAAGGAAAAAAAAUUGUUUUAAUUAUAAAAUGUCUGUAUGUCAAAGAAUAUUUUGCAGACAAAUAGGUAUAUGAUUUUGCUGCUUCUGGUAGAUGGAAAGAUGGCCACAAGUGGAGGAAACCUUGAUUUGGAGAAUUUCUGGGCAUGAAGUCCGCAAAUACCAGUCUGCUGUUUACCCUGUAUGGUCCGCACUUUCAAUCGAUACAUGUACGAAACGGUCCGCAUUUUACCCCAAAGUCCGCGAAAAAUCUGUCAAAAAUUUCAGACGAGUCCGCAGGAA